This 365-nucleotide ribosomal RNA is filed under the name uncultured bacterium. Its description in RNAcentral is "bacterial SSU rRNA". It matches the Rfam family "Bacterial small subunit ribosomal RNA", at positions 29 to 408 of the family's 1533-position model. The record is from RNAcentral.
AAUGAACGUUGGCGGCGUGGAUUAGGCAUGCAAGUCGCGCGACAAGGAACCUUCGGGUUCUGGAGGAGCGGCAAACGGGGUAGUAAGGCAUCGGAACGUACCCUCUUGUUGGGAAUAGCCGCGGGAAACUGCGAGUAAUGCCCAAUAAUCCCUACGGGGCAAAGGUCCGCCGCAGGAGGAGCGGCCGAUGUGAUACCAGCUAGUUGGUGAGGUAAUGGCUCACCAAGGCUUAGACGUCUAGGGGGUGUGAGAGCAUGGCCCCCACCACUGGGACUGGGGAAUACUGCCCAGACACCUACGGGUGGCUGCAGUCGAGAAUCUUCGGCAAUGGGCGCAAGCCUGACCGAGCAACGCCGCGUGCGGGA